RNAcentral lists this ribosomal RNA (253 nucleotides) under uncultured bacterium. RNAcentral describes it as "partial 16S ribosomal RNA". It matches the Rfam family "Bacterial small subunit ribosomal RNA", at positions 524 to 776 of the family's 1533-position model. The record is from RNAcentral.
UACAGAGGGGGCUAGCGUUGUUCGGAAUUACUGGGCGUAAAGGGCGCGUAGGCGGCCCUCUAAGUCGAACGUGAAAUCCCCGGGCUCAACCCGGGAACUGCGUCCGAUACUGGAGGGCUCGAAUCCGGGAGAGGGAUGUGGAAUUCCAGGUGUAGCGGUGAAAUGCGUAGAGAUCGGGAGGAACACCAGAGGCGAAAGCGGCGACCUGGACAGGUACUGACACUCAACUACGAAAGCGUGGGGAGCAAACAGG